AAGUCGUAACAAGGUUUCCGUAGGUGAACCUGCGGAAGGAUCAUUAAAAAGGAUACCGGAGUCGUCGGUAUACCCCACCCGUGUCUAUAUACUCUUGUUGCUUUGGCAGGCCGUGGCCUCCACCGUGGGCUCUGCCUGCGUGUGCCUGCCAGAGGACCAAACUCUGAAUUUUAGUGAUGUCUGAGUACUAUAUAAUAGUUAAAACUUUCAACAACGGAUCUCUUGGUUCUG
This 231-nucleotide unclassified non-coding RNA is filed under the name air metagenome. RNAcentral describes it as "partial contains small subunit ribosomal RNA, internal transcribed spacer 1, and 5.8S ribosomal RNA". The stretch from base 1 to 46 matches the Rfam family "Eukaryotic small subunit ribosomal RNA", at positions 1786 to 1831 of the family's 1831-position model. The record is from RNAcentral.